AGUGAACGCUGGCGGUAGGCCUAACACAUGCAAGUCGAACGGCAGCACAGUAAGAGCUUGCUCUUACGGGUGGCGAGUGGCGGACGGGUGAGGAAUACAUCGGAAUCUACUUUUUCGUGGGGGAUAACGUAGGGAAACUUACGCUAAUACCGCAUACGACCUACGGGUGAAAGCAGGGGAUCUUCGGACCUUGCGCGAUUGAAUGAGCCGAUGUCGGAUUAGCUAGUUGGCGGGGUAAAGGCCCACCAAGGCGACGAUCCGUAGCUGGUCUGAGAGGAGGAUCAGCGACACUGGAACUGAGACACGGUCCAGACUCCUACGGGAGGCAGCAGUGGGGAAUAUUGGACGAUGGGAGCAAGCCUGAUCCAGCCAUACCGCGUGGGUGAAGAAGGCAUUCGGGUUGUAAAGCCCUUUUGUUGGGAAAGAAAAGCAGCAGGUUAAUACCCCGCUGUUAUGACGGUACCCAAAGAAUAAGCACCGGCUAACUUCGUG
RNAcentral lists this ribosomal RNA (492 nucleotides) under uncultured bacterium. RNAcentral describes it as "partial 16S ribosomal RNA". It matches the Rfam family "Bacterial small subunit ribosomal RNA", at positions 29 to 507 of the family's 1533-position model. The record is from RNAcentral.